RNAcentral lists this ribosomal RNA (207 nucleotides) under uncultured bacterium. RNAcentral's name for it is "partial 16S ribosomal RNA". It matches the Rfam family "Bacterial small subunit ribosomal RNA", at positions 568 to 774 of the family's 1533-position model. The record is from RNAcentral.
UCCGUAGGUGGGCGAUUAAGUCAGUGGUGAAAUCCUGCAGCUCAACUGUAGAAUUGCCUUUGAUACUGGUCGUCUUGAGUCGCUGUGAAGUGGUUGGAAUAUGUAGUGUAGCGGUGAAAUGCAUAGAUAUCACAUAGAACACCGAUCGCGAAGGCAGGUGACCAACCAUGUACUGACGCUGAUGGACGAAAGCGUGGGUAGCGAACG